This 118-nucleotide ribosomal RNA is filed under the name Diaphorina citri (Asian citrus psyllid). The record is from RNAcentral. Lineage: Eukaryota; Metazoa; Arthropoda; Insecta; Hemiptera; Psyllidae.
GCCACCGGCGAUAGCACGUUGAAUGCACCAGUUCCCCGUGGAUCACUGAAGUUAAGCAACAUUGCACGUGGAUGGUAUCUGGAUGGGUGACCAUCUGGGCAAUCCCCUGCUGCUGGCU